Molecule: long non-coding RNA, 6837 nt
Organism: Ctenopharyngodon idella (grass carp)
Lineage: Eukaryota; Metazoa; Chordata; Actinopteri; Cypriniformes; Xenocyprididae
Exons: 2
Source: RefSeq, a predicted model, not a curated record
AAGUUCAACAGUUAAGAUCACAUUGAGUAGUUAACGAAGUGGGAAAUUAUGAUAUGAAAAGACACAAUUAUGAUAUGAAAAGACAUAAUUGUUGAUUGCUAGAUUAUAUUCACUGUCUACUUGCAAUUUGCACUUCCAAAGGAAAUUUGGCCAGGUAUGUUCAGCAUUUGGGACUGAACCCUUUCAUCUAAAUCUUUUAAAUAACAUGCUGAAUCAUAUACAUGCCAAACAGAAAAAUACCAUCGGAGUGAUUCUGCAAAUGCAAAUUUCACUGAUUAGGCUAUUAUGCGUGACAGUGAAUAUUUGCUUUGAGGACUUCUUCCCAACUCCCUAUAGGCAGCCAUGAAAGCCAUGUUCAUUACCACAAACUACAUCUAUUACUAUAUACUACACAUAUAUAUAUAUAUAUAUAUAUAUAUAUAUAUACACAUACACACACUAUGGGCUCUGAUUAUGGAGCCAUUUGGACUUUCAUCAGUCUCACAAUCUGACAUGAUUGAGCUCAGCAUUUGUGCAGAGCUGCUCUUAAUUAAGUCCAUCUGUCUGGCAUCUUCUCUCCAUCCUUCCCUUCCUUUUGUUACACAGAUGGAUAUAGAGGGAUUCUCUCAUCUUUCAGUUUCCUCUGAACACACAUUUGGCAUGAAUAUUUACAGAAAAUUAGUCAUUUGCCUUCAGUGAACAUACUGUAUGGUCCACUGCAUUAGUGCUGUUGCGUUUGGCCCAACGUUUGGCCCUGCAACUGUUGUAAAGCAGCAUACAAGUGAUUCUGCUGGGUUAGGUCUGCACAGAAGCACUUCAAAUCUCCAAAUAUGCCCAAAACAUUUUUAAUUCCACCACCAAAGCGAGACCUUGGUGAAGCAAAGAAAUCCACCGACUUCCAGAGAUGAAUCCACUCUUUGAAAAGCCGGAAACAUAUCUGUCUUUGUUUUUUGCUCUUCUGUAACAUUUGCUGUGAAACUCCAAGGUCGGUUAUCAUAAUACAGAAGGCUUGAUCCACAAAGUAAUUCAACACACCUGUUAUGCAGCUGAGCCAGAGCCCUCAUUUGAGAAUAAUGCAAAUGCACAGAGCCAGAAGUGAACAAUGAGCAAAUAAACAGAUCUAAAAGAGUGUCCGCUUUUGAAACCAAAACUCGCAUAUGAAAACAACUGCAAGACUUUCAGUGGUGCAAUUAUGAUUUUGACUCUCAACUAAGAUGUUAUGAAAGAGGAUCCAGGCCUAUAUCUACCUAACAGAGCUUGUUUUGGAUGACUUCUCAUAUGAAAUCAAUGACUAAAAGAAUUUGUACUCAGCAUAGCAAGCAAAUUCAAAUGUAAAUGUCCUGUUUUAAAGAGACUAUGCCUUCAUUUACUUACAAAUAGCUAUAUUAAGUUUACCAUUCAUUUGAAAUAUGAUCCAAUGUACUCUACCAUUCAAAAGUUUGGGGUCUGUAAGAUUUUGUUUUUUUUAAAAAGAAAAAAAAAAACCUGAUACUUUUAUUCAGCAAGGAUGCAUUAAACUAAUCAAAAGUGACAGUAAAGACAAUAAAAAUGUUACAAAAUAUUUAUUUUUUUAAAUAAAUGUUGCUCUUUGCACAUUCUAUUCAUGAAGAAUCAUGAAAAAAAAAAAUCAUGGUUUCAAAAAAAAUAUUACAAACUGUUUUCAGCACUGAUAAGACAUUCUUGAUCAUCAAAUCAGCAUAUUAGAAUGAUUUCUCAAAAAGAUAUUUAAGCUAAUUUUUAAGAUUUACAAAUUUCAAUUGCAUAACUGUUCCAUCCGAUUGCAUUACCCCUUGUUCCAUUCCCUAGUUCCUUUAAGUUUUAUACAAAUAUCUUUUAUUAAGCUCUUUUUUUACUUUACUUAUGUAAAAUUGUUAAUUCAUAAUAUGAAUAAUAUGUAAGGAUUAUUCAAUUCAAUUUGAUGGAAUUUUUCAAUACAAUUUAAAUUGGUGCACCACUCAAUUUUCAGCAGUUGUUACUCCAGUCUUCAGCUUUGCCAUCACAGGACAAUAUUACAACAUUACUGAUUUUACGGCAUUUUUAAUUCAAUAACAUUAAAGUGCCCCAUUAUGCUUUUUCAGAUAUUACCUUUCAUCUAGUGUAUAAUAUAGCUGUUUGUGAAUGUAAAAGGUCUGCAAAGAUAAAAGCGCACGAUAAAUAAAAUUGUUGUCUCGAUAAAAGAAUCGAUUCUGAACUGAAACGAGUCAUCAAUAAUUCCAGUCUUACUUCCGUAAUUACAUAAGUAACAAUGUAACAAAUUUGCAUACUACCCACCUAUGGUCUUCAUUGGCUGUCCAUGAACAUCAUCUACUUUGACCCGCCCUCACCUCAAACACUGUAGCUGGUUUUUGUUGUGUACAUGUUGAGAAGAUGCUGUUUUCACUCAGCAAAAGCAAAUAGAAAAAAGUAAAUACUUCCAAAGGAUGGGGAUUUGAAGAGUCAGUGGUUAAAAUUACCACAGCAGUAUAACCUUUUGACAAAUGCUUCUCAAAUCUCUGUCUAGAUAUACAUGGGAUUUACAAAACGCUUAUCCAUUAAAGAUGGAACAGUACCCACUUUAUUUAGACCACCCUACUCUUCAAAAUCACAACCAGUAAGUAUGAUUAAGUAUUGAAGUAUAUAUUUUCUACCGGGUGUUCAAAAUACAUAGUUUAUAUUGUGUAGGUCUCUGGCUAACCAGCUAAUUAACGUUAUUACUGUCAUACUGAAAUACUUCUGCUAAUCAGCUGUGGGCCACUAUUACCUAAAAUUGUGUCCUUUAGUGCAGAUUGUCUGCUGUUCUUACUACUUUGAGUAAUGAUAAGGGUGGAGUAGGUUUUGUUUUACAAACUUUAAUGUUACAUCAGUCAUUCACAUUACUGCUCGGCUAAUGUAUGCACUGUUAUUGAUACAGUUAUUGAUGCAGUUCUCACAUGUGCACAGCAAUAAAUCAGAAAUAUACACAUCGGUUUGUUGAUGGACAUACUGUACACUUGUUAAUGCUGACGGUGAAGAAUUACAGUUGCAACAUCUCAUAAUGUACGACAAACUAAGUAGUGUUUCACUGAGAAACCCUGAUCAAGUCGUCCUUGCGAUGGGAGGUUCAGGGUCGAAUAACUAGCUCUUCCAAUUUGUCAUCAUUGGACUCGCGCUCGAAUUCAUAUAGUAACAUUGUUACUGUCUUUUACAGUGUGUACAAUCGCUGAGGAUUUAGAAAGCCUCCUGAGCUUAAGUAUAGUUAUGGUAAUGGGUGUUUCAUUUCCGACAUGCUCUAAUUGGUAGACCAGUCACAACAGACAGGGCUGUCUGACCAAUCAGAGCAGAGUAGGCUCUUGGAAAGGAGGGGUUUAGAGAGACUGAAUCUACGGAAAUGUUGUAUGAGAAUCUUUGAAAAAUGUGGUGAUGUGCAAUGUGUAAUAUGAGAAAAUCAAAGUGUUUUUUGACAUUCGAUGCAUGUAAACCUGUUGUAGGAGACCUCAAAAGAAAAUUAGGAACUUUUAAAAUAGCACAGUUUAAGGCACUUUAAAAAAAAUCUUACAAACCCCACACUUUUGAUCGGUAGUGCACAUUUAUGCAUUCAGUUUUAUGUAGUCAAAGAGAAAAAUAUUAUGCAUGCUUUUCGGCACCACAUCAAUUUUGUGCAUUAUGCAUCAGGUCAGAGAAGGGGGUACACAUCAUCCUUUUUAAUGCUGUGUCCGGAGCACUCAAAUGAUGCAUCCCAAGGCUGAGAUCCUAGGUUCAAAUAACAGCUAUCUGCAGGGACACCUCUGGCUGUGUUUUAGUAAUGCUGAGCCAAUAAUGGGUAACCUCUCCUCAAUCACCUCCACCGUUGUCAUAGUGAGGUCACACCUGUGGGUACCAAAAUAAUCUGAGGGAAAGAGCUCAGCAGCACCUGUGAAAGGAUGCGUACUCUUGAUGUCAUGUGAUACUGGGGGAGCAGCAUCAAUGUUUUCAAAGUCAUGGACUGUGUAAGUGGAAGGUAGGAGGUGACAGAGGGCAUAUGCAAACAAAAUGCUUAGUUUUGCCAUUCAUUUAAUUCUGCCUCACCUUAAUAUAACAUUAAAACCGAGCAUGUAUUUCUAACAGGGAAAAUGCUGCAGUGAAAGUUAACAUUUUGAACUUGAGCUUCAUAACAGACUGGUUCAGCUGACGUAAGUCCAAAAUGGGACGCAACCCCCCAUCCUUCUUUGGAACAAUAAAGUAACGGCUGUAAAACCCGGUUUCUCUGUCGGGAGGGAGUACAUGUUCUAUGGCUCCCUUCCCCAGCAGAGUUUUUACUUCUUGCUCCAUGACCAGAGCCUGCUCGGGGCCCACCACUGUGGCUAGGACCCCCAUAAACCUGGGCGGGCGAGACCCGAACUGAAUGGCAUAACCCUUUUCGACUGUACGCAGGACCCAUUGAGAAAUAUUUGGCAAUAGCUUCCACGCUGUCAGAUAUUCUACUAAGGGAACCAGUCUCUCGAGACUGGCUUCUGGUGUGUUUUGAACAACCAAUUCGUGCCCUGAAGCGGCGAACCAGCAGGGAACAACCGAACCGAAUGUUCUGAGACCCUCUUCAGAGGUAGUUUCCGGGUGGACACUGGGAUGUUUGCUCGCUGGAGACCGCUGUGCCCUGAAGCACACGAGGUGGCAGGGUUGGCAGAACGGCCCCCUGAGGGCACCGAAGAGAACUGGGCACUGUAUAAUGAGGUGUUAACCAUUUCUCUUCGAGGGGAGUUUGGGUGGCGAUGCUCUGUUUCUGAGUGGCAUGGUGUUGCAAAGAGCUGGAUUUAGAUGUUUGGGGCUGCUCCCUCUCAGCAGCCCAAGGGAUGUGAAAGCGACGGGGGAGGAGCUUCUGGAACGCCGCCACCUGCUUAUUGGCUUCCUGGAACCUCUCGACGACAGUGUUUACUGCGUCGCCAAAGAGGCCAGGGGGCGCAAGCGGGGCGUCCAUGAGGAAGUUCUUAUCUUUGUCUUUUAUUGCACUCAAAUUCAACCACAAGUGCCUCUCCGUGGCCACCAGGGCUGCCAUAGCACGACCAACAGAUCUGGCCGUCUCCUUGGUGGCCCGGAGAGAUAAAUCAGCAGCCCGACGUAGCUCAUCGACCACGUCUGGGCUAAUUCCCCCACCCUCUUCAACAUCUCCUAAUAAAUCCGCCUGGUAGGCUUGCAGCACGCCCAUAGUGUGGAGACAUGCUGCAGCCUGACCAGACGCCUGAUAAGCUUUGCCCACCAAAGUCGAGGUGACUCUGACUGGCUUAGUGGCCAGUGUCGGGGCCUUUAGGGACGAUGCUGACUGUGGAGAGAGAUAACUCGCAAGUGUCUCUUCCACUUUAGGCAUCGCCCCAUAACCGUGCUCUUUAAGGCCCACUAUCGAUGCAUAGUGCGUGGUCUGAGCACUAUGCACACGAUAGGAGGCUGGUUUCUUCCAUGAUCUCGACACCUCAGUGUGGAGAUCUGGAAAAAACGCUAAACUGCAGCGACAGACCCACAACAACGACCUCCGGAGAUGGAAACGGGGAUCCGGAGGGCACAGGUGGAGCUGGAGUUACCAAGGGCAGAGGCGGCGCCUGAGGGAGGGUGGAGCUAGCCAAAGCCAAAGGGGAUGAGGGCCGGAGAACAGCGAACGGCUCGCAAGUCCGCAGCAAAGGCGUGGCGGUGUCCACUCCAGGUGGAGCCAACGGUCUGAGGGAGCCCAGCGAGGCAGAAUGCCCAACAGAGGGAGGAAGGAGUGCAGGCGCAGGAGCCAGGGUGACGGGACGAGAUGGAGCGGAGCAUUGAGAGGCUUGAGGCAGAGCCACGGGCUCUCUUCACGCUCAGGAGAAGGUGGCUCCCAGCAGGCCCAAGGUGUAACCCCAUGACUGGGUUGCAGGAGUGGCUGAGGACUGAGGAGAAGAAUAGACAACAGCACAGAAACCAAUGAAAAACAAUAAAUUCUUAAUGGCAGUUUGAAAAGGUGGUGGGAGAGGGAGUUGGGCACUGAGUUGGGAGUGGGACUGGCGUCAUCUUCACCCAGGCCUACGGUGAAUACUGAUCCGAAUACUUUGGUGGCUGUGUUGAGGCUGGCGUGCAAAACGCGCACAGACACUUAUCUGGGAAGGGUGACUGAUAAGCGAGGUCAAAAAACUCUUCCAAAUGUUCCUCGAGGGAGCAUCCUUCUUGUUUAAGGCAAAGCAGGCAGACAGCGGGAAUGUCCAUUGAGAUGAAAAAAAAACAAAAAAAAAAAAAAUCAAAAAGUCCAAAAAAAACAACAAAAAAAAACCCCACAUGCACUCACAAAACAGGAAAAACAAAAGUUUCGCCACUUGUCACAUUUGCAGGUCGGGUAUUCUGUCACAGUUCUAAGGUUGUAUCAAACAUGCACAACGAUGAAGAUGAAGAUAAAUCCAAACAGGCUUUAAUAAAUCCACAAUAUGAUCCAAACAGAGAGAUAAGCAUCAACAACCAAAGAGUAGACACAAACAAUACCCGACAAUUAAGGAGAGAAUGGCAUGCAUAAAUACUGCCGAUAAUGAGGUGUGCACAGCUAAUUUUUUCUUUUUUCUAAUUUUAUUUUUUCUGGACGAGUCAGAGCGAACUACAGUGCUAACAGAGUCUCACAAACGAGCAAGUAGCACAGAAGACCAACAGCCAAAGUCAGGAUUUUCGUUAAAUAAUACAUUAAAUUUCAGUUUGUUUUUCACCAAACCAUAUUGUAUACCCCCAGAAAACUUGGAAUAUACAACACGUGUCGCAUUGGACCAUUUUGUGAUUCCUUUUUUUCUCUCUUUUUUUUUUUUUUUUUCAAAGCCUGAUGCUGGUCACUAUUUACUGCCACUAUGUGGAUAUUUACUGCCCUUUUUUUUCUUUUUUUUUUCUUUUUUUUUUAUUAUUAAAUGGAUUAUUAAAUGGAUUGUUGCUGCU